CUGCCCAUAAGACUGGGAUAACUCCGGGAAACCGGGGCUAAUACCGGAUAACAUUUUGAACUGCAUGGUUCGAAAUUGAAAGGCGGCUUCGGCUGUCACUUAUGGAUGGACCCGCGUCGCAUUAGCUAGUUGGUGAGGUAACGGCUCACCAAGGCAACGAUGCGUAGCCGACCUGAGAGGGUGAUCGGCCACACUGGGACUGAGACACGGCCCAGACUCCUACGGGAGGCAGCAGUAGGGAAUCUUCCGCAAUGGACGAAAGUCUGACGGAGCAACGCCGCGUGAGUGAUGAAGGCUUUCGGGUCGUAAAACUCUGUUGUUAGGGAAGAACAAGUGCUAGUUGAAUAAGCUGGCACCUUGACGGUACCUAACCAGAAAGCCACGGCUAACUACGUGCCAGCAGCCGCGGUAAUACGUAGGUGGCAAGCGUUAUCCGGAAUUAUUGGGCGUAAAGCGCGCGCAGGUGGUUUCUUAAGUCUGAUGUGAAAGCCCACGGCUCAACCGUGGAGGGUCAUUGGAAACUGGGAGACUUGAGUGCAGAAGAGGAAAGUGGAAUUCCAUGUGUAGCGGUGAAAUGCGUAGAGAUAUGGAGGAACACCAGUGGCGAAGGCGACUUUCUGGUCUGUAACUGACACUGAGGCGCGAAAGCGUGGGGAGCAAACAGGA
RNAcentral lists this ribosomal RNA (666 nucleotides) under Bacillus sp. 39BFS. RNAcentral describes it as "bacterial SSU rRNA". It matches the Rfam family "Bacterial small subunit ribosomal RNA", at positions 126 to 777 of the family's 1533-position model. Lineage: Bacteria; Bacillati; Bacillota; Bacilli; Caryophanales; Bacillaceae. The record is from RNAcentral.